Long non-coding RNA from Etheostoma spectabile (orangethroat darter), 118 nucleotides. RefSeq lists it as uncharacterized. The transcript is spliced from 3 exons. The record is from RefSeq and is a predicted model, not a curated record. NCBI's taxonomy places the organism in Eukaryota, Metazoa, Chordata, Actinopteri, Perciformes, Percidae.
ACCACAGCAUACGUACAUAAAGGCUAACUAGCCAGUUAGCUUUCUGUGUAAUGUAACAAAAACCCACCCAUCUUGUAGGAGUGAAGCUUAAUAUUUCACUCAAAAAUUAUGAUACAAA